GACGAACGCUGGCGGCGUGCCUAAUACAUGCAAGUCGAGCGGACAGAUGGGAGCUUGCUCCCUGAUGUUAGCGGCGGACGGGUGAGUAACACGUGGGUAACCUGCCUGUAAGACUGGGAUAACUCCGGGAAACCGGGGCUAAUACCGGAUGGUUGUUUGAACCGCAUGGUUCAAACAUAAAAGGUGGCUUCGGCUACCACUUACAGAUGGACCCGCGGCGCAUUAGCUAGUUGGUGAGGUAACGGCUCACCAAGGCAACGAUGCGUAGCCGACCUGAGAGGGUGAUCGGCCACACUGGGACUGAGACACGGCCCAGACUCCUACGGGAGGCAGCAGUAGGGAAUCUUCCGCAAUGGACGAAAGUCUGACGGAGCAACGCCGCGUGAGUGAUGAAGGUUUUCGGAUCGUAAAGCUCUGUUGUUAGGGAAGAACAAGUACCGUUCGAAUAGGGCGGUACCUUGACGGUACCUAACCAGAAAGCCACGGCUAACUACGUGCCAGCAGCCGCGGUAAUACGUAGGUGGCAAGCGUUGUCCGGAAUUAUUGGGCGUAAAGGGCUCGCAGGCGGUUUCUUAAGUCUGAUGUGAAAGCCCCCGGCUCAACCGGGGAGGGUCAUUGGAAACUGGGGAACUUGAGUGCAGAAGAGGAGAGUGGAAUUCCACGUGUAGCGGUGAAAUGCGUAGAGAUGUGGAGGAACACCAGUGGCGAAGGCGACUCUCUGGUCUGUAACUGACGCUGAGGAGCGAAAGCGUGGGGAGCGAACAGGAUUAGAUACCCUGGUAGUCCA
RNAcentral lists this ribosomal RNA (787 nucleotides) under Bacillus subtilis. RNAcentral describes it as "bacterial SSU rRNA". It matches the Rfam family "Bacterial small subunit ribosomal RNA", at positions 28 to 797 of the family's 1533-position model. Lineage: Bacteria; Bacillati; Bacillota; Bacilli; Caryophanales; Bacillaceae. The record is from RNAcentral.